Molecule: transfer RNA, 68 nt
Filed under: Acrocephalus orientalis
Lineage: Eukaryota; Metazoa; Chordata; Aves; Passeriformes; Sylviidae
Description: tRNA-Phe
Source: RNAcentral
CGUUUAUUUUUAUCUUGACAUUUUUUGUCAACACAACCAAACCACUAACUAUAUCUCCCUACACUAUG